Molecule: ribosomal RNA, 215 nt
Filed under: uncultured bacterium
Lineage: Bacteria
Description: partial 16S ribosomal RNA
Rfam family: Bacterial small subunit ribosomal RNA
Source: RNAcentral
CGCUAAUGUACCCUGGGGUCUGGGAUAGCCAGUCGAAAGAUUGGGUAAUACCAGAUGAGACCACGAUCUGGCAUCAGAUUGUGCUCAAAGGGCAACUGCCCUGGGAUCAGGCGAUGUGGUAUCAGGUAGUUGGUGAGGUAACGGCUCACCAAGCCUUCGACGCCUAGCCGGACUGAGAGGUCGGUCGGCCACAUCGGGACUGAGACACUGCCCGG